Molecule: ribosomal RNA, 250 nt
Filed under: uncultured bacterium
Lineage: Bacteria
Description: partial 16S ribosomal RNA
Rfam family: Bacterial small subunit ribosomal RNA
Source: RNAcentral
UACGUAGGUGGCAAGCGUUGUCCGGAAUUAUUGGGCGUAAAGGGUGCGUAGGCGGUUUUUUAAGUGGGAUGUGAAAUACUAGGGCUCAACCUUAGAAUUGCAUUCCAAACUGGAAGGCUAGAGUGCAGGAGAGGAAAGCGGAAUUCCCAGUGUAGCGGUGAAAUGCGUAGAGAUUGGGAGGAACACCAGUGGCGAAGGCGGCUUUCUGGACUGUAACUGACGCUGAGGCACGAAAGCGUGGGGAGCAAAC